This 200-nucleotide ribosomal RNA is filed under the name Drosophila melanogaster (fruit fly). Its description in RNAcentral is "28S ribosomal RNA, D1 domain". Lineage: Eukaryota; Metazoa; Arthropoda; Insecta; Diptera; Drosophilidae. The record is from RNAcentral.
UUUGGAAACAUCAUCUAGUAAUCAUUAACGUUAUACGGGCCUGGCACCCUCUAUGGGUAAAUGGCCUCAUUUAAGAAGGACUUAAAUCGUUAAUUUCUCAUACUAGAAUAUUGACGCUCCAUACACUGCAUCUCACAUUUGCCAUAUAGACAAAGUGACUUAGUGCUGAACUGUUUUCUUUUCGCUCGCCGCUACUAAGA